UCCCCCUUAGCUCAGCGGUAGAGCGCUUCACUAGUAUUCAACGUGUGAUGCUAUGAAGAGGUCAGUCGUUCAAGUCGGCUAGGGGGAA
Moniliophthora roreri MCA 2997 is the source of this 88-nucleotide transfer RNA. It matches the Rfam family "tRNA". Rfam says of the family: Transfer RNA (tRNA) molecules are approximately 80 nucleotides in length. Lineage: Eukaryota; Fungi; Basidiomycota; Agaricomycetes; Agaricales; Marasmiaceae. The record is from Rfam.